Molecule: long non-coding RNA, 627 nt
Filed under: Glycine max (soybean)
Lineage: Eukaryota; Viridiplantae; Streptophyta; Magnoliopsida; Fabales; Fabaceae
Description: long non-coding RNA (GMAX_LNC001949)
Source: RNAcentral
UUAAAUAAAAAUGGGUGUUACACAACAUUUAUUCGGUAACUUAAGAGUUGAUCACAUUUCUUUUCAACCACAAUGAUUGCUUCAUUAUUUGGAAAUUUCGAAUUUGCAUUUAAUGGCAUUGAAUUCGCUAUCCCCUAAUCAUUGAAUGCCACGUGUGACGACCGAGUCACUUCCCUAGGAUAACAAGAGCCUCUUUCCAUGGCCGAAGGACGCGCGCAUCCGCCCGGAGUUCUGGCCCCCAUGAACUUAGACCAUUGUCAUUCUCCACUUUGAAUAGCUUCCCACAUAAAUCAUCAUUGUGCCCUACAAACCCACAAAAAUAGCAUAACACAAUCAGCCUCUCAUACUUGAAAUGGACUAUAGUUUCAUCUCUAGACCUUCCUUCUUGAUCUUCUUGGUACAUUUCAGAGGUUUGUUGACAUCGAUCAUAACUUUUAUCCUCAUGUAAGACAUCAACGGGCUUGAAUUGUGUUUGUCAUCAUAGUCUACAAAUUGGUCCAGGAAGUUACCAACAGCUAUCGUUGUCAAGCCAAGAGGGAUGUUAUGAACCUCAAUCCAAAUUGGUAUUUCUUGCAUAGGCACUUGACUUGGGACUUCACUUCCGUUGAUGUUUAUGAGAAAAAGUUG